RNAcentral lists this small nuclear RNA (142 nucleotides) under Cynoglossus semilaevis (tongue sole). RNAcentral describes it as "U1 spliceosomal RNA (ENSCSEG00000001067.1)". It matches the Rfam family "U1 spliceosomal RNA". Rfam says of the family: U1 is a small nuclear RNA (snRNA) component of the spliceosome (involved in pre-mRNA splicing). Its 5' end forms complementary base pairs with the 5' splice junction, thus defining the 5' donor site of an intron. The record is from Rfam by way of RNAcentral. Lineage: Eukaryota; Metazoa; Chordata; Actinopteri; Pleuronectiformes; Cynoglossidae.
GUACUUACCUGGGAGGGGAGACACCAUGAUCACGAAGAUGGUUCCCCCAUUGCACUCCGGCUGUCUGACCCCUGUGAAUUCCCCAAAUGUGGGAAUGUCAACUGCAUAAUUUCUGGGUGUGGGGGACGGCGUUUGGGCUGGG